This is a non-coding RNA of Trametes polyzona, 81 nucleotides long. Lineage: Eukaryota; Fungi; Basidiomycota; Agaricomycetes; Polyporales; Polyporaceae. The record is from the annotation of a GenBank genome assembly.
ACACUGAUGGUGAAACGGUAUCAUGCUUGCCUUCCACUCCUGGGGUAGCAAGCGGCGCGGGUUCGACUCCCGCUCAGUGUA